GCAUUAAGCACUCCGCUUGGGGAGUACGGUCGCAAGACUGAAACUCAAAGGAAUUGACGGGGGCCCGCACCAGCGGUGGAGCAUGUGGUUUAAUUCGAAGCAACGCGAAGAACCUUACCAGGUCUUGACAUCCUCUGACAACUCUAGAGAUAGAGCGUUCCCCUUCGGGGGACAGAGUGACAGGUGGUGCAUGGUUGUCGUCAGCUCGUGUCGUGAGAUGUUGGGUUAAGUCCCGCAACGAGCGCAACCCUUGAUCUUAGUUGCCAGCAUUUAGUUGGGCACUCUAAGGUGACCGCCGGUGACAAACCGGAGGAAGGUGGGGAUGACGUCAAAUCAUCAUGCCCCUUAUGACCUGGGCUACACACGUGCUACAAUGGAUGGUACAAAGGGCUGCAAGACCGCGAGGUCAAGCCAAUCCCAUAAAACCAUUCUCAGUUCGGAUUGUAGGCUGCAACUCGCCUACAUGAAGCUGGAAUCGCUAGUAAUCGCGGAUCAGCAUGCCGCGGUGAAUACGUUCCCG
Molecule: ribosomal RNA, 520 nt
Filed under: Bacillus sp. JAMSTEC15
Lineage: Bacteria; Bacillati; Bacillota; Bacilli; Caryophanales; Bacillaceae
Description: bacterial SSU rRNA
Rfam family: Bacterial small subunit ribosomal RNA
Source: RNAcentral